This 266-nucleotide ribosomal RNA is filed under the name uncultured bacterium. RNAcentral's name for it is "partial 16S ribosomal RNA". It matches the Rfam family "Bacterial small subunit ribosomal RNA", at positions 335 to 618 of the family's 1533-position model. The record is from RNAcentral.
AGCCUACGGGAUGCAGCAGUGGGGGAUAUUGCACAAUGUGGGGAACCCUGAUGCAGCGACGCCGCGUGGGUGAAGGAGUGCUUCGGCAUGUAAAGCCCUAUCGGCAGGGGAGAGGCAAGACGGUACCUGACUAAGAAGCCCCGGCUAACUACGUGCCAGCAGCCGCGGUAAUACGUAGGGGGCGAGCGUUAUCCGGAUUCACUGGGGGUAAAGGGAGCGUAGACGGGCAUGCAAGCCAGGGGUGAGAGACCGGGGCCCAACCCCGG